ACGGUCCAGACACCUACGGGUGGCAGCAGUCGAGAAUUUUUCUCAAUGGGGGAAACCCUGAAGGAGCGACGCCGCGUGGAGGAUGAAGGUCUUCGGGUUGUAAACUCCUGUCAUUUGGGAACAAUGCGCAAAUAUUAACUGUAUUUGCGUUGAUAGUACCAGAAGAGGAAGAGACGGCUAACUCUGUGCCAGCAGCCGCGGUAAUACAGAGGUCUCAAGCGUUGUUCGGAUUCAUUGGGCGUAAAGGGUGCGUAGGCGGCGCGGUAAGUCGGGUGUGAAAUCUUGGAGCUUAACUCCGAAACUGCAUUCGAUACUGCCGUGCUUGAGGACUGGAGAGGAGACUGGAAUUUACGGUGUAGCGGUGAAAUGCGUAGAUAUCGUAAGGAAGACCAGUGGCGAAGGCGGGUCUCUGGACAGUUCCUGACGCUGAGGCACGAAGGCCAGGGGAGCAAACGGGAUUAGAUACCCCGGUAGUCCUGGCAGUAAACGGUGCACGUUUGGUGUGGGAGGAUUCGACCCCUUCUGCGCCGGAGCUAACGCGUUAAACGUGCCGCCUGGGGAGUACGGUCGCAAGAUUAAAACUCAAAGAAAAUUG
This 595-nucleotide ribosomal RNA is filed under the name uncultured bacterium. Its description in RNAcentral is "bacterial SSU rRNA". It matches the Rfam family "Bacterial small subunit ribosomal RNA", at positions 326 to 913 of the family's 1533-position model. The record is from RNAcentral.